RNAcentral lists this ribosomal RNA (495 nucleotides) under uncultured bacterium. RNAcentral's name for it is "bacterial SSU rRNA". It matches the Rfam family "Bacterial small subunit ribosomal RNA", at positions 28 to 537 of the family's 1533-position model. The record is from RNAcentral.
GACGAACGCUGGCGGCGUGCUUAAACACAUGCAAGUCGAACGGUCCUGUUUUUGAAGCGCUUCGGCGUGGAGGGGACGGGGCAGUGGCGCACGGGUGAGUAAUGCGCGAGGACCUGCCCGCAGGAGGGGGACAGCAGUUGGAAACGGCUGGUGAUACCCCGUAGGCCGGGAGGUGAAAGGGCGGAGACGCCCGCCUGCGGAUGGACUCGCGUCCUAUCAGCUAGUUGGUGAGGCAACGGCUCACCAAGGCGACGACGGGUAGCCGGCCUGAGAGGGUGUCCGGCCACACUGGAACUGAGACACGGUCCAGACUCCUACGGGAGGCAGCAGUGGGAAUUUUGGGCAAUGGGGGAGACCCUGACCCAGCGACGCCGCGUGAGGGACGAAGGCCCUUGGGUCGUAAACCUCUUUUGCAGGGGAAGAAGAAGAUGACGGUACCUUGCGAACAAGUCCCGGCUAACUACGUGCCCAGCAGCCGCGGUAAGCUCGUCUCUA